UGGUGUCAACCAAGCCAGGAGAAGGAACUUUCGUCAAUAGUGAAUCCAU
Molecule: non-coding RNA, 49 nt
Filed under: Compsopogon caeruleus
Lineage: Eukaryota; Rhodophyta; Compsopogonophyceae; Compsopogonales; Compsopogonaceae
Source: RNAcentral